UACGUAGGUGGCAAGCGUUAUCCGGAAUCAUUGGGCGUAAAGGGUGCGUAGGUGGCGUACUAAGUCUGUAGUAAAAGGCAAUGGCUCAACCAUUGUAAGCUAUGGAAACUGGUAUGCUAGAGUGCAGAAGAGGGCGAUGGAAUUCCAUGUGUAGCGGUAAAAUGCGUAGAUAUAUGGAGGAACACCAGUGGCGAAGGCGGUCGCCUGGUCUGUAACUGACACUGAGGCACGAAAGCGUGGGGAGCAAAUAGG
RNAcentral lists this ribosomal RNA (252 nucleotides) under [Clostridium] innocuum. RNAcentral describes it as "partial 16S ribosomal RNA". It matches the Rfam family "Bacterial small subunit ribosomal RNA", at positions 524 to 776 of the family's 1533-position model. The record is from RNAcentral. Lineage: Bacteria; Bacillati; Bacillota; Clostridia; Eubacteriales; Clostridiaceae.